This 303-nucleotide long non-coding RNA is filed under the name Phoenix dactylifera (date palm). Its description in RNAcentral is "long non-coding RNA (PDAC_LNC002343)". Lineage: Eukaryota; Viridiplantae; Streptophyta; Magnoliopsida; Arecales; Arecaceae. The record is from RNAcentral.
UGUUGCCCAAGGUGACAAUCCAAGAGGGGGGGGUGAAUUGGUUUCUUCUAAAUUUUAGUGUUUUUAAAAACUUUCGUAAUUAAGUGCGGUGGAUGCUUUCUUAGGUUAUUUGAGUGAGUUAAAUUAAUACAAGAAUAGAAGAUAAAGCAAGGGAAAAUGAAAGCACAAACACAAUGCAAACACACCAAUAUAUAGUGGUUCGGUGCUCUCCUUAGCACCUACGUCCACUCCCCAAGCGUACCCUUGGGAAUUCACUAUAAUCUCACGGAUUACAGUUGGAUUGUUUUUCGGGCUCACAAUACN